GCGUUCAUAGCUCAGUUGGUUAGAGCGCCACCUUGACAUGGUGGGGGUCGUUGGUUCGAGUCCAAUUGAACGCACCA
This 77-nucleotide transfer RNA is filed under the name Escherichia coli. Its description in RNAcentral is "tRNA-Val". It matches the Rfam family "tRNA". From Rfam's summary of the family: Transfer RNA (tRNA) molecules are approximately 80 nucleotides in length. Their secondary structure includes four short double-helical elements and three loops (D, anti-codon, and T loops). The record is from RNAcentral. Lineage: Bacteria; Pseudomonadati; Pseudomonadota; Gammaproteobacteria; Enterobacterales; Enterobacteriaceae. RNAcentral also lists the same sequence under 1 other name.